CCUGGCGGCACUAGCGCGGUGGUCCCACCUGACCCCAUGCCGAACUCAGAAGUGAAACGCAGUAGCGCCGAUGGUAGUGUGGGGUCUCCCCAUGCGAGAGUAGGGAACUGCCAGGC
This 116-nucleotide ribosomal RNA is filed under the name Salmonella enterica subsp. enterica serovar Anatum. Lineage: Bacteria; Pseudomonadati; Pseudomonadota; Gammaproteobacteria; Enterobacterales; Enterobacteriaceae. The record is from RNAcentral.